RNAcentral lists this ribosomal RNA (253 nucleotides) under uncultured bacterium. Its description in RNAcentral is "partial 16S ribosomal RNA". It matches the Rfam family "Bacterial small subunit ribosomal RNA", at positions 524 to 776 of the family's 1533-position model. The record is from RNAcentral.
UACGUACUGUGCGAACGUUAUUCGGAAUCACUGGGCUUAAAGGGUGCGUAGGCGGCCGUUUAAGUAGGGUGUGAAAGCUCUCGGCUCAACCGAGGAAUUGCGCUCUAAACUGGACGGCUUGAGUGAGAUAGGGGUGUGCGGAACUUCCAGUGGAGCGGUGAAAUGUGUUGAUAUUGGAAGGAACACCGGUGGCGAAAGCGGCACACUGGGUCUCAACUGACGCUGAGGCACGAAAGCUAGGGGAGCAAACAGG